Molecule: ribosomal RNA, 497 nt
Filed under: uncultured bacterium
Lineage: Bacteria
Description: partial 16S ribosomal RNA
Rfam family: Bacterial small subunit ribosomal RNA
Source: RNAcentral
GACGAACGCUGGCGGCGUGCCUAAUACAUGCAAGUUGAGCGCUGAAGGUUGGUACUUGUACCGACUGGAUGAGCAGCGAACGGGUGAGUAACGCGUGGGGAAUCUGCCUUUGAGCGGGGGACAACAUUUGGAAACGAAUGCUAAUACCGCAUAAAAACUUUAAACACAAGUUUUAAGUUUGAAAGAUGCAAUUGCAUCACUCAAAGAUGAUCCCGCGUUGUAUUAGCUAGUUGGUGAGGUAAAGGCUCACCAAGGCGAUGAUACAUAGCCGACCUGAGAGGGUGAUCGGCCACAUUGGGACGGAGACACGGCCCAAACGCCUACGGGAGGCAGCAGUACGGAAUCUUCAGCAAUGGACGAAAGUCUGACCGAGCAACGCCGCGGGAGUGAAGAAGGUUGUCGGAUCGUAAAACUCUGUUGGUAGAGAAGAACGUUGGUGAGAGUGGAAAGCUCAUCAAGUGACGGUAACUACACAGAAAGCGACGGCUAACUACGUG